UGCAAGCUAGAAAGGGCGUGUGGAGGAUGCCUUGGCACUAAGAGGCGAAGAAGGGCGUGUAAGACUGCGAAAAGCCUGGGGGAGCUGUCAAAAGAGCAUUGAUCCCGGGAUCCCUGAAUUAUCGCAUACUGAAUACAUAGGUAUGCGAAGCGAACGCGGGGAACUGAAACAUCUCAGUACCUGUAGGAGAGGAAAGAGACAUCGACUCCGUGAGUAGCGGCGAGCGAAAGCGGAUUAGCCCAAACCGGUCAGGCAUGCCUGACCGGGGUUGUAGGACCGGAGAUAUGGUUGGCACGAUCGGAGCAGAAUCACCUGGAAUGGUGAACCGUAGAGGGUGAAAGUCCUGUAUGCGGACCGAGAGUGCGGCUUAUCCGGCACCUGAGUAGGACCAGACACGUGAAAUCUGGUUUGAAUCUGCGGGGCCCAUCCCGCAAGGCUAAGUACUCCUUAGUGACCGAUAGCGAACCAGUAGCGCGAGCGAAAGGUGGGAAGAAUCCCUUUGAGGGGAGGAUAGUGACCCUGAAACCACACGCCUACAAGCGGUCGGAGCUCCGUAAGGAGUGACGGCGUGCCUUUUGCAUAAUGAUCCGGCGACUUGCCAUUACCGGCCAGGUUAAGCCGUUCUGCGGCGGAGCCGAAGGGAAACCGAGUCUGAAUAGGGCGAACAAGUCGGGAGUGGUAGACGCGAAACCACGUGAACUACGCAUGGGCAGGAUGAAGUGGGGGUAACACCUCAUGGAGGUCCGAACUCACUAGUGUUGAAAAACUAGGGGAUGACCUGUGUGGAGGAUUGAAAGUAUCAUCAAACGUGGAGAUAGCUCGUUCUCUCCGAAAUAACUUUAGGGUUAGCGUCAUGGUAGUUGGCAUUGGGGGUAGAGCGACUGAAUGCGCUGGGGGGCCUACCCGGCUACCCCUCGCAACCAAACUCCGAAUACCAGUGUUCAAGCCAUGGCAGUUAGACUGCGAGGGAUAAUCUUCGUAGUCGAGAGGGAAACAGCCCAGACCGUCCGCUAAGGUCCCUAAGAAUUGCUAAGUGCGAAAGGAAGUGGAAUUCCCGAGACAGCCAGGAUGUUGGCUUAGAAGCAGCCACCAUUUAAAAAGUGCGUAAUAGCUUACUGGUCGAGGAGUUCCGCGCCGAUAAUGAACGGGACUAAGCAAUUCACCGAAGCGUCGGAUAGAGUAAUCUAUGGUAGGAGAGCGUGGCGCGGCAGGUUGAAGGGGAUCGGACAACGAUCCCUGGACGAGGCGCCAGUGAUAAUGCCGGAACGAGUAACGCUAAAACAGGUGAGAAUCCUGUUCGCCGAAAGCCCAAGGAUUCCUGGGGAAGGUCAUUCCGCCCAGGGUAAGCCGGAGCCUAAGACGAGGCCGAGAGGCGUAGUCGAUGGGGAGCAGGUUGAUAUUCCUGCGCCGUGCAGUAGGGUUUGAUGCUUGGUGUGACGGCUUGCGAAGGUGGAUUAGGGUGCUGGAAACCCGAGUUCUGCUGGAGUGAGUCCUAGAAAAGCCACUAAGCUACUGAAUGCAUGUCCGUACCUAUAACCGACACAGGUGGGUGAGAUGAAGAUUCUCAGGCGCGCGAGAGAACGCUCGUGAAGGAACUCGGCAAUUUAGCCCCGUAACUUCGGGAGAAGGGGCGCCCCCGCGAGGGGGCCGCAGUGAAAGGGAUCUGGCGACUGUUUAUCAAAAACACAGGACUCUGCGAACUCGCAAGAGGAAGUAUAGGGUCUGACGCCUGCCCGGUGCCGGUAGGUUAAGGAAGAGGGUUAGCCGUAAGGCGAAGCUCGCAACCGAAGCCCCGGUAAACGGCGGCCGUAACUAUGACGGUCCUAAGGUAGCGAAAUUCCUUGUCGGGUAAGUUCCGACCUGCAUGAAUGGCGUAACGACCGGAUCACUGUCUCCACGAGCGACUCGGUGAAACUGUAGUUGUUGUGAAGAUGCAACAUACCCGCGAUUAGACGGAAAGACCCCGUGAACCUUUACUGCAGUUUGGCAUUGGGUUUAGGCCCAGUAUGCGUAGUGUAGGUGGGAGACUGAGAACCGGAUGUUCAGGCAUCUGGGGAGUCGAAAGAUGAAACACCACCCUUGCUGUGCUUGAAUUCUAACCCCGACCCAUGAAACUGGGCGGCGGACAGUGCUUAAUGGGCAGUUUGACUGGGGCGGUCUCCUCCCAAAGAGUAACGGAGGAGUCCCAAGGUACCCUCAGCCCGGUCGGCAAUCGGGCAGCGAGCGCAAUGGUAGAAGGGUGCUUGACUGCGAGUCCAAUCAGACGAGCAGGUGCGAAAGCAGGGCAUAGUGAUCCGGCGGUGCUGGAUGGAAAGGCCGUCGCUCAACAGAUAAAAGGUACUCCGGGGAUAACAGGCUUAUCUCCCCUGAGCGUUCAUAGCGGCGGGGAGGUUUGGCACCUCGAUGUCGGCUCAUCGCAUCCUGGGGGUGAAGAAGCUCCCAAGGGUUUGGCUGUUCGCCAAUGAAAGCGGUACGUGAGCUGGGUUCAGACCGUCGUGAGACAGGUCGGUCCCUAUCUGUCGUGGGCGUAGGAAAUUUGAGCGGUUUUCUCCCUAGUACGAGAGGAUUGGGAGGGACGUACCUCUGGUGUUCCAGUUGUUCCGCUAGGGGCAUUGCUGGGUAGCUAAGUACGGCACGGAUAAACGCUGAAAGCAUCUAAGCGUGAAACCCUCCGCGAGAAUAGAUUUCCAGUUCGUAAGAACGAAGGCUCCUUGAAGACCACGAGGUCGAUAGGCCGGACGUGUAAGGCCAGUAAUGGUUUAAGCUUACCGGUACUAACAGCCGAUGGCUUGGCAGC
RNAcentral lists this ribosomal RNA (2797 nucleotides) under Planctomycetota bacterium. Its description in RNAcentral is "23S ribosomal RNA". It matches the Rfam family "Bacterial large subunit ribosomal RNA". The record is from RNAcentral. Lineage: Bacteria; Pseudomonadati; Planctomycetota.